Molecule: ribosomal RNA, 253 nt
Filed under: uncultured bacterium
Lineage: Bacteria
Description: partial 16S ribosomal RNA
Rfam family: Bacterial small subunit ribosomal RNA
Source: RNAcentral
UACGGAGGGUGCAAGCGUUGCUCGGAAUUACUGGGCGUAAAGGGAGCGUAGGCGGGUUAUCAAGUUGGAGGUGAAAGCCCAGGGCUCAACCUUGGAAUUGCCUUCAAAACUGAUAACCUAGAGGAUGAUAGAGGUAAGUGGAACUCCGAGUGUAGAGGUGAAAUUCGUAGAUAUUCGGAAGAACACCAGUGGCGAAGGCGACUUACUGGAUCAUUACUGACGCUGAGGCUCGAAAGCGUGGGGAUCGAACAGG